CCUGAGAAACCCAAAAGAUCGAAUGGGGAGAUUCAUCGUCAGCUCAUUCUGUAUAUAUACGAGUUAUGAUAUGGGUUACUACUUGUAGUAUCGCCUGUACAUUCUUGUGUGUUUUAUUGCAGGAUGUUGUCGGCGUGCACCUUCUCCCCUAGUAGGACGUCGCGACCCGUUGAGUGUCGGUCUACGGCCCGAGUGGUAGCCUUUAAUUCUUGUAAUUAAAGACCCUUGGUGUUUCCUGGCUGACUGCUCGGCGGUAUUCGUACGAUAUUAAGCCGCAUUUAUGCGUUCAUAUCCGUCGCAAGCCCGGUUCAUUUGUAGUAGUGCGGACUUAGUGCCGUCGCGACAAUGGAUCAGCUGUUGGUUGUACGGUAUUCUAGAACUGGCUUAUAAUAUAUAUAUCGGUCUGCGAUGCUACUGCUUUGGGUACUUUCAGGACCCGUCUUGAAACACGGACCAAGGAGUCUAACAUGUACGCGAGUCAUUGGGAUUUUUAAAUAAAUUAAACCUAAAGGCGUAAUGAAAGUAAARRUCGUUCUUGUAACGAUUGAGGGAGGAUGAGCUGUAUCAAGAUACAGUUUCGCACUCCCAGGGCGUCUCAUUCUUAUUGCAAGAAGAGGCGCACCUAG
Molecule: ribosomal RNA, 626 nt
Filed under: Bitomus sp. AZR-2005
Lineage: Eukaryota; Metazoa; Arthropoda; Insecta; Hymenoptera; Braconidae
Description: eukaryotic LSU rRNA
Rfam family: Eukaryotic large subunit ribosomal RNA
Source: RNAcentral